RNAcentral lists this ribosomal RNA (468 nucleotides) under uncultured bacterium. Its description in RNAcentral is "partial 16S ribosomal RNA". It matches the Rfam family "Bacterial small subunit ribosomal RNA", at positions 28 to 507 of the family's 1533-position model. The record is from RNAcentral.
GACGAACGCUGGCGGCGUGCUUAACACAUGCAAGUCGAACGGUGAAGCUCCAGCUUGCUGGAGUGGAUCAGUGGCGAACGGGUGAGUAACACGUGAGCAACCUGCCCCUGACUCUGGAAUAAGCGCUGGAAACGGCGUCUAAUACUGGAUACGAGAAGGGUCCGCAUGGGCACUUUCUGGAAAGUUUUUCGGUUGGGGAUGGGCUCGCGGCCUAUCAGCUUGUUGGUGAGGUAAUGGCUAACCAAGGCGACGACGGGUAGCCGGCCUGAGAGGGCGACCGGCCACACUGGGACUGAGACACGGCCCAGACUCCUACGGGAGGCAGCAGUGGGGAAUAUUGCACAAUGGGCGAAAGCCUGAUGCAGCGACGCCGCGUGAGGGAUGACGGCCUUCGGGUUGUAAACCUCUUUCAGCAGGGAAGAAGCGAAAGUGACGGUACCUGCAGAAGAAGCACCGGCUAACUACGUG